Small nucleolar RNA from Ictidomys tridecemlineatus (thirteen-lined ground squirrel), 134 nucleotides. Its record names the gene U8. It matches the Rfam family "U8 small nucleolar RNA". Rfam says of the family: U8 is a member of the C/D class of snoRNA which contain the C (UGAUGA) and D (CUGA) box motifs. The record is from Ensembl. Lineage: Eukaryota; Metazoa; Chordata; Mammalia; Rodentia; Sciuridae.
UCAUCAGGUGGGAUAAUCCUUACCUGUUCCUCCUUUUGGAGGGCAGAUAAAACAUGAUAAUUGGAGUUCACAUGAUAUGUGAUUAGCUUCCCUGAAUAAUCAGGACUGCAGCAUCCUGAUUGCUUCUAUCUAAU